ACUUCUGUCUCUCUCCUUUCCCUCCCCCUGUUCUCCCAAGAUCUGAUUUUUGAUGGCUAUAUAGUGUGAUUCUUCUCCCAUGAGUUUGAUGCGAUGUCAAGGAAAAUUUGAAGAACACGAAGAAGAGUUUCCAUGAAUUUGACGAUGUGAAUGGAAAAUUUGAAGAACACCAAGUGUUUCGAAAGAACAAUCUGAUUGGGGUGCUUGAGGAUACCAGAGAUCUUACAUUCCAUGGUAUUUUUUACGAGUUCGAAGCUGCUUUAGAGGACACCAAGCUCAGUGUUACCUUAAGAAGUUGAGAAGAGGAAUCACCACGCUUUUCAAUCAUGGGAGAGAAAACGAGAAAGGAGUAUGCAGUCUUACUACAGAGGCAUAGAGCUGCUGUCAUACAAAAGCUGAUGAAAAGCAGGAUUGCAAGGAAGAAAUUCAACAACAUUUGUGAUGCAUCAAUUGUGAUACAAUCAGCUAUCUUUGCAGUUUAUCGUGGCUGGUUUGUCAGAAGAUGCUCAGGAGGUAUAGGAUAAAUGAAACCUGGGAACACAAAUGUGCUUAAUUAUGGAUCACCAGAAAGGAGUUCUUUUUCGAUAAAGGAGUGUGUGAUUUCAAUAGCUUUGACGUGGGGCUAAUAACAGGAGUUCCUGCAUCGGAAAUUUGGAAUUGUCUAAGGAUUCCUAUGCAGCUACCCCAGUGCUGCCUGAUCUGGCUGUACUGAUGUCCGGACGGCCAAUGAAGGACCCUGAUAUGCUCUGCCUAUAAAUAACAAGGGUAUCAGGGAGGUACAAAAGCCGCUUGAAGAUAUCACAGGGAGUCUCAAGAUAGCUGGAGUCAAAGGCACUAGGUUCAACUGAGAGGAAUUUGAGGCAGGCGUCUCGAGCACUGAAGCAGGGGAAGGCUUGGUGGAAAGACACACUUUUAUGAUGGCAUGGAAAUCCAAAGAGCGGACGGAUUUGUUGUACAAACUGGUGAUCUGGAAGGACCUGCAGAGGGUUUAAUUGAUCCAAGUACAGAGAAAACCAGGACGAUACCUUUAGAAAUCUCUGUAGAUGGAGAGAAAGCACCCUUUUACGGUGCAACUUUGGAAGUAAGAUUCCUCCUUCCUAGUCACUCCCUCUCUCCCUUUGUAUGUAUAUGAUGUGUGUGUGAUUCUGUUGAUACAUUACAGAAAAUGAGGACUUCUUGGCAGAUCUCAAGGUUGGUGAUGCUAUUGAAUCUAUCCAAGUUGUUUCUGGCCCGGAAAAUCUAGUGAAUCCAAGCUACAAGAUUGCUGGCUAGACAAAAGCCUCUGUCUACUUAUGUCUUCCAUUUGCAAGUUUAUACACGGCAACCAUUUGGAAGUCUGUCAUUUCUAGAGAAUAAUAUAAAUUCGAGAAUGUAUUCAUCGACUGAAAUCAAGUCCAGGUUAUGCCUGUGUUUAACUAGAUUGUGAUUAUAUAGCAUAUUUUUCAUUUUCCCCAAAAAAGAAGCACAAAAACAUAAAUUUACCUGUUCAGUACGGAAAACCAAUUUUGUAUAACCCACUUGAUACAUCUCUAGUAAUAUGUUGAACUGAUGAAGAAUAGCAACUGAAAC
Molecule: long non-coding RNA, 1569 nt
Organism: Rosa rugosa (rugosa rose)
Lineage: Eukaryota; Viridiplantae; Streptophyta; Magnoliopsida; Rosales; Rosaceae
Exons: 7
Source: RefSeq, a predicted model, not a curated record